AUACGGAGGGUGCAAGCGUUAAUCGGAAUUACUGGGCGUAAAGGGCGCGUAGGCGGUUUGAUAAGUCGGAUGUGAAAUCCCCGAGCUUAACUUGGGAAUUGCAUUCGAUACUGGUUAGCGAGAGUGUGGGAGAGGAUGGUAGAAUUCCAGGUGUAGCGGUGAAAUGCGUAGAGAUCUGGAGGAAUACCGAUGGCGAAGGCAGCCAUCUGGCCUAACACUGACGCUGAGGUGCGAAAGCAUGGGGAGCAAACAGGAUUAGAUACCCGCGUAGUCC
RNAcentral lists this ribosomal RNA (274 nucleotides) under uncultured bacterium. RNAcentral's name for it is "partial 16S ribosomal RNA". It matches the Rfam family "Bacterial small subunit ribosomal RNA", at positions 523 to 796 of the family's 1533-position model. The record is from RNAcentral.